This 73-nucleotide transfer RNA is filed under the name Chloroflexi bacterium 54-19. RNAcentral's name for it is "tRNA-Arg". It matches the Rfam family "tRNA". Rfam says of the family: Transfer RNA (tRNA) molecules are approximately 80 nucleotides in length. Their secondary structure includes four short double-helical elements and three loops (D, anti-codon, and T loops). The record is from RNAcentral. RNAcentral also lists the same sequence under 1 other name. Lineage: Bacteria; Bacillati; Chloroflexota; Chloroflexia; Candidatus Chloroheliales.
GCGCCCGUAGCUCAGUGGAUAGAGCAACCGCCUUCUAAGCGGUUGGUCGCAAGUUCGAUCCUUGCCGGGCGUA